RNAcentral lists this ribosomal RNA (253 nucleotides) under uncultured bacterium. RNAcentral's name for it is "partial 16S ribosomal RNA". It matches the Rfam family "Bacterial small subunit ribosomal RNA", at positions 524 to 776 of the family's 1533-position model. The record is from RNAcentral.
UACGUAGGGUGCAAGCGUUGUUCGGAAUCAUUGGGCGUAAAGCGCGUGUAGGCGGUUAGAUAAGUCAGAUGUGAAAUCCCUAGGCUCAACCAAGGAAGUGCAUUUGAAACUAUCUAGCUAGAAGAUGAUAGAGGAAGGUGGAAUUCCAAGUGUAGAGGUGAAAUUCGUAGAUAUUUGGAGGAAUACCGGCGGCGAAGGCGGCCUUCUGGGUCAUACUUGACGCUGAGACGCGAAAGCGUGGGUAGCAAACAGG